This 664-nucleotide long non-coding RNA is filed under the name Lathyrus oleraceus (garden pea). RNAcentral describes it as "Pisum sativum (pea) long non-coding RNA (PSAT_LNC026139)". Lineage: Eukaryota; Viridiplantae; Streptophyta; Magnoliopsida; Fabales; Fabaceae. The record is from RNAcentral.
UUACUUUACAUACCGAUAUCUUAAUUAAUUAGCCGGACAUGCUAAACAGGUCUAAACAAUUAUCAUGCUUAAAUAAAGCCAUAUCAGGUAAACAAUAUAAAUAAACAAUAGUGCAACCUUCAUUCCGCUUACUUUACAUACCGAUAUCUUAAUUAAUUAGCCGGACAUGCUAAACAGGUCUAAACAAUUAUCAUGCUUAAAUAAAGCCAUAUCAGGUAAACAAUAUAAAUAAACAAUAGUGCAGAGCAUAUAUAAAUUAAAACAAUAAAUUAAAGAACCUGAAAAAUUAAUAGGAAUCUUGAACACUCCACCACAGACCGGUUGGAUUUGUUCUUGCAAUCUUCAAUCGGACAGAAAAAUAAAAAAAAACAAAGGAAUAAAAUACUAUGAUCUAACGUAAGGUUAGAUCCAGUAAAAGAUACACAAUAGUUUCCGGUGUAGAAACUAUUAUGUGAAAAAUUAAUUAAGUGCUCUGAAAAUUGACUGGAAAAGAAAAAAAAGAAAUAAAAAAGGAAAUAAAAAUUUCUAUGAAGGUAGAAUGCUGAAAAAAAUAGAAAGUAGUAAAAGUAAGUAGUGCUGUAAAUGCUUGCACGGCGGAAAAAAAAAGAGAGCCUUUAGGGUUGGAUCCAAGCAACUAUUUAUAUUAAUCCAUUUUGUAACCGUU